UACAUGUGGUUUAGAAUUUCAGUAAUCAAACCAUAAUAGCUUAAAAAUACCAAGUUAGCUACCAAAUCUAUGUGCAGACAAGAUUAGGAUUCAAUAAUGUGCUGACUAGUUUCAUUCACUCUAAACAUAUUAUUUUCAGAUUUGACUUAAAUAGCUAAGUUACUACUUUAUCGCUUUGUCCAAACCAAUGCCUUCCCUCUCCUUCCUUCUACAGUACCAUCUUUUUUCCUGCUCAAUAUUAUCAAACCAAGCUACAAAUCUAAUUAAACUGUCUUGAUGCCAAAAUCUCUGCUCCUGGAGAAAUGCAUCAUGCAGCACAUCUAGAGUGAAACUAAGGGUUUAGUUCUGGAGGCAUUAUGUUGGUGGCCGUGGGAGGAAGUCAGUCAAUCAUUUAGUUCUGCUGAGAUAAGCUUGGACCCAGUCGAAAGAAAGUUAAAAUCUCCAAAGAAUGGAAAGACUGAAAUACAAGAAAAAGAGACAGAAGCUACAAGAGAAGAGAGAAGAAAUAAAAAAGAAAGACAGGAACUUCACGUUCUUAAAAUAAAAGGUAAAACUUCCCUUCUAGACUCUAUUGCUCAAGAUUUUCAGCAUUGACCGCGAUAACAAAAACUUCUAAGGCUUUUCGAAGUAAGUCUUUCGAAAAAUUUCACUUAUUUUUUUAACUCACUAACUAUAUCCAGAGGGAAACAAAAUUCAACUGAAAUAUGAAGCUCUCUUGGAUGUCAUAGACAGCCCAUACUACAUGUUUUCCAAAAGGGAGGAAGUUUUCCAAAAAUCUGUAGAAUGAGGUAGGUGUUUGUUCAUUCUGGGCAAAUCAUCCAUUAACAUUCAGAAGACUUUUAAGUAUGCCAUGAGAGAUUCUACCCAUAGCCUCUAUAGCACUUGUAUUUCUUCAGCUAAUUAUAUGAAUACAUUAAUUAACAGUGGCAAGGACAAGCCUCAGCCCUCUAAAGGCAGGCAGUGACUUUACAAUUCACAGAGAAUAAAUUGGAAUCAAAAUAAGGCUUGGCUUCUGUCAAUGGUGUGCUGGUGCGUG
Molecule: long non-coding RNA, 1036 nt
Filed under: Pan troglodytes (chimpanzee)
Lineage: Eukaryota; Metazoa; Chordata; Mammalia; Primates; Hominidae
Description: lncRNA (ENSPTRG00000053503.1)
Source: RNAcentral